RNAcentral lists this ribosomal RNA (651 nucleotides) under Glomeromycotina sp. AB-2014. RNAcentral describes it as "SSU rRNA". It matches the Rfam family "Eukaryotic small subunit ribosomal RNA", at positions 359 to 1016 of the family's 1831-position model. The record is from RNAcentral. Lineage: Eukaryota; Fungi; Glomeromycota.
GUAACGGGGUGUUAGGGCACGACACCGGAGAGGGAGCCUGAGAAACGGCUACCACAUCCAAGGAUGGCAGCAGGCGCGCAAAUUACCCAAUCCCGACACGGGGAGGUAGUGACAAUAAAUAACAAUACGGGGUCCUUUCGGGUUUCGUAAUUGGAAUGAGUACAAUUUAAAUCUCUUAACGAGGAACAAUUGGAGGGCAAGUCUGGUGCCAGCAGCCGCGGUAAUUCCAGCUCCAAUAGCGUAUAUUAAAGUUGUUGCAGUUAAAAAGCUCGUAGUUGGAUUUCGGGAUCAAUAUAUCGGUCGUGCCAUUGGUACGUACUGGUAUCAUUGGUUUCUCCUUUCUGACGAACCAUGAUGUCAUUAAUUUGGUGUUAUGGGAAGUUAGGACUGUUACUUUGAAAAAAUUAGAGUGUUUAAAGCAGGCUUUAGCUUGAAUACAUUAGCAUGGAAUAAUAGAAUAGGACGGUGGUCCUGUUUUGUUGGUUUCUGAAUCACCGUAAUGAUUAAUAGGGAUAGUUGGGGGCAUUAGUAUUCAAUUGUCAGAGGUGAAAUUCUUGGAUUUAUUGAAGACUAACUUCUGCGAAAGCAUUUGCCAAGGAUGUUUUCAUUAAUCAAGAACGAAAGUUAGGGGAUCGAAGACGAUCAGAUACC